Molecule: long non-coding RNA, 925 nt
Organism: Vigna unguiculata (cowpea)
Lineage: Eukaryota; Viridiplantae; Streptophyta; Magnoliopsida; Fabales; Fabaceae
Source: RefSeq, a predicted model, not a curated record
AGCUAUCAAUAAUUUUAAGAAGUUGAGAAGUUUCCAGUCUCAAUCUCACUAACAAAAUAGAAUUCUUUUCGAGCUCCUCCGAAUUGCCCUCCCUGAAACCCUUGCCUUCAUCACACAUGCCUCCUUUGUAUUGGCCAUCCCUUAAAAUCGUAGCCUCCACCGCUCGCCGCUCCUCUGCAUUAGCCUCCGCCGCGCGCCCCUCCUCUACAUUGGCCAUCCCUUGGAACCCGAGCCUCCACCACUCGCCUCCUCUGCAUUAGCCUCCCUUCGAACAGUAGCCUCCACCAUGUGUGCCUCCUCACAUUGGUCCUCAUUGAAACCCUAGCCUCCACCUGCGCGCCUCCUUUGCACUAAACCCUCCCUGGAACCACCUCUAGUUGAGCUUGCUGCAAUUCGUCGACAUCUGGAGCUCGUACCCUUAUCGUUGUGUGACAGAGCUUUAUCCCGCGACCACCACCGCAUCUUUUCACCUGCAGCUAGGCUUCCCAAGGUUACGUUAGGGAGAACUGGAUUUAUUGUGACACUUAGGAGAAGGAUAAAUGGGUUUAGUGCCGCUGUGAAUGGGAUUUGAAAACCCAAGGUUCAAGCUCCAAUCGUUUCUCGACGAGGUGUUGCGGCCGGCUCUUGGUGUUAAGGAUGAUGGUUUGCUGAUGAUGGUGUCAAGUGCUUCGACCGGCUUAGUCGCUUCUAUGUAUGACCUUUCAAAUUUGUUAAAUUGCAUUGUUAUGAGAUAAUCUUGGGAUUAUCACAUGAUAGAAAAUUAGAAUAAAGAAAUGUGAAAUUCUAUGUGACUUGGCUAUGAUUAUCUACUCAUGUUGGUUUGAUAAUUUGAUAUUUCACUGUGAUAUAGUUUGUAGAGUCUGACAAAUUUUUUUCUGUGAUAGGACAAAAUUUGGGUUGUAGUCAGCUUAUUUUAUACUCCAUC